Trachymyrmex cornetzi is the source of this 73-nucleotide non-coding RNA. NCBI's taxonomy places the organism in Eukaryota, Metazoa, Arthropoda, Insecta, Hymenoptera, Formicidae. The record is from Rfam.
GCCUCGGUAGUCUAAAGGCUUAGGACGUUCGCACGGUAUGGAAGAGAUCCGGGUUCGACUCCCGGCCGAGGUA